Molecule: ribosomal RNA, 21 nt
Filed under: Chaetomium globosum
Lineage: Eukaryota; Fungi; Ascomycota; Sordariomycetes; Sordariales; Chaetomiaceae
Description: partial 18S ribosomal RNA
Source: RNAcentral
AGGGAAAUUCGGAGUUUGCAA